RNAcentral lists this long non-coding RNA (3083 nucleotides) under Sus scrofa (pig). RNAcentral describes it as "lncRNA (ENSSSCG00065015124.1)". Lineage: Eukaryota; Metazoa; Chordata; Mammalia; Artiodactyla; Suidae. The record is from RNAcentral.
AGGCUCGUUUGGGGGAUCCCCUGCUAAUUGGGUGCCCAGGUUGCCUGGUCCUGUUACCUGGAGUCGGAGCUCCGCCCCUUGGGGGGAGAGUAGUGGAGAGUCGGGAGUGUGGGGGGAAUAUUUCCUGCGCUGGUGGUCCUUGGAGAAGAGGAUCCCCACCCAAAAUAAGUGGCCAAUGAGAAUUGUUUCUAGAAUGCAGCAGACCAUGAGCUUGGCAGUUCCAAGUGCACUGAAGCAAUGAGAGCUCCCUUCCUGGUCACAAGAUGGCUACAGCAGUUCCAGCUGUCACAAGCUCACACACAAAUAUCCAGAUUCUUCUUCAUUCUCACGCAUGAAAACUUUAUAUCAGAGAUACAAAGUAGAGAAGAGGUUCUGUGGAAUGGAGGAAGAGAGAUUAAUUACAGAAAUCCACAUUGAGCCAAAUGCUCCCUGGAAUGUGAUUUGAAGAUGAAUGUUCCAAAUUAUUUUUUCUCUGUCUAGAUGACAGAUUAAUAAGGGAAUCAAUCAGUCAAUCAAACUCAAUCAAUGAGAAUGGAGCCAUGUCUGAGCAGUGAUGGAUGAUACUUGAGAGUGAAUUAGUGACUGAUUUGGAGAGAUUUCAGAGGAGUAGAGCUAACAAUGGCAAAUCAGGUUAGCUUGUAUGUAUUGCUGACAGGAUGCAGGCUGGGCAAUAGCAGUUUCUAUCCAACAGCCUCCAACUGCCUGUGAAGCUGACCCAGAGAUUCCUUCAUAUCUGAUAGAUUGACACAAGUCUAUCUGAAAUCGUUUUUUUCAACCCUUGUAAUUUUUAUAAUAAUAUGUAUCAAGCCUAGAAACCUACAUUUAAGUAUCUGAAUAUAUCUGCACAGAGGGAAACAACUCCCAACAAUGCCUCAUGACAGUAUGCUGUCAGUUGCUAAUUGGGAAGAAGCACAUAAUAAUUAGAAGGCAUUCUAUUGCUUGCUGGGGGCUCUUUCCCUAAAUGGUUAAAAUAUUCAACUCUAUUGGGCAACUACCUGGUUUAAAAAUCUUUGACAGGUGGUGUUAGCAAUGCUUAUUUACUUGUUCUUUUAGUCAUAUACUGUCUGUGCAAAAGCUCAAAAAUCAUGCCAAGCUACCAAUGGUCACUACUGACAUCUCAUCACCUCAUUACCUCCUUUAAAAUUCCUUCCAUGUCAAUUCAUCCUGCACACCUAUCUAAGCUGCUGUCCUCUCCAGGCUAUAGUGCCAGCAAGAUCUUUUCUCUAGGGACUGACAAUCAAUACUUCAGCAAGGUGAUUGCCAAGUAGUGGAGGAACAUUUUGUAAUAGAUCCUUAAAGGACAUCACAUGCUGACUUUUAGCAGAUUCAAGUAAGCAAAGACAGAGAGAAUGUGUGUGGCUCACAUUCUUUCAGCCGUUGAAGCUCAGGAAUCCUGCCCAGAUCCUAUAGUUUUGAUUGGACUGCACCACUGGAUGGAGAUAUUAGUGUUGCAAAUCCAUUAGGGAUUUAUUCACUCUAGAAAAUUUUUACAGUGGAAAGAAAACUAUAGGGUCUUUCAUUUUCUACUCUAUUCAUUUCCCCCUCAUUUUAGUAGUUAGGAAACUGUUCAAUACUUGGCAGUUUCUCUUUAGUCUUACAUUUCUGUCAUAUUGUCCCUUCCCACACUCUUUUUUACCCAAGAAAUAGGCAGAGUGUAGAUUUUGAAUGUUCCUGCCUAUGGCAGGCAUCUUCUUCCUGGCUUAUAGCCUGCCCUGUCCUUGUUGUGCAGCAGGCUGGUGGGGUUACUGGAAUACCUAGGGGUGACUUAUGUGGCUCUGAGAGCACCCUGAUGGAUUGAGCUGACUAGUGACAACUAAUUGCUUAUUUUCAGGGAUUUUCCCACUUUGCCAACAUCAUCCAAUUGAGGGCCAGAUGCUUUUUUUUUGGCCACAUGCAUGGCAUGUGGAAGUUCCUGGGCUAGGAAUCGAACCUAUCACAAAGGUGACAAUGUCAAAUCCUUAACCUGCUGAGUUACCACGGAACUUGAGGACCAGAUGCUUUUAGUCAAUAUCUUCUGCAGUUCAAAGAGGUCUAAAACUCUUACUUUACUCCAAGCAUCUAAUACAUAGGCUUGAACAAAUAUGUUUCUCCUAUUUACUCUGAAGGAAGAGUGUGACUUUUAAAGGAGUAGGUGAACAUAUAGGGUGCUUUUCUUUUCAACACAGAAUGGAAUACUGUUUUGGAAAUAGUUGGGGAAGCAGACAUGAGUAUAUACUUUAAGGACUGUAAAUUGGUGCACACUUGAUAGAUGCAAUUUGAUUCUGCCUAUAGAGAUUUAAAAUGCAUGUGCUUUUGACUGAGGAAUUUCACUUUUUACCAUGUAUCUGCAAAGUAUACCAGCAUAUGGGUUUGAGGGCAAAUGUGUAUUUAUAUAGCAUUGUUUACAGCAGCAAAAUUGGAAGCUAUCUAAAUGUCCAUUUAAUAGAGAACUUGUUAAAUUAUUGCAUAUCCAUACAAUAGCUUCUUUUAACAAUUGUUAAAAGAAUGAGGCAGAUCUGUAUGUAACAAUGUGGAAAAUUUCUAAGAUAGACUAUGUAUCCUAAGAAGGGGUAGACAAUGCUGCUAUUUAUGGAAAAAAGGGGGGAGCUGUAUGCAUACAUGUGUAUGAUUGUGUAUAUGUAACCUAUCUUGACUUUUUUUUUUUUUUUUUUUUUUUUUUAGCUUUUUAGGGCCACACGCAUGGCACAUGGAAGUUCCCAGGCUAGUGGUCAAAUUGGAGCUACAGCUGCUGGCCUACACCACAGCCACAGCAACGUGGGAUCUAAGCCACGUCUGCAGCCUACACCAUAGCUCAUGGCAACGCUAGAUCCCCAACCCACUGAGCCAGGCCAGGGAUCAAACCCACGUCCUCAUGGAUACUAUAGUCAGAUUCAUUUCUGCUUCGCCACAACCAGAACUCUAUCUUGACUUAUUAUCAGCAGUUGACUCCGAUGAAGGAAUUGGGGCACUGAGAAAAAGUUGAGAAAGAGUUUUACUUUUCACUGUAUGGCUUUUUAUAAAGCUUUAAAUGCUUUCCUUGUGCAUGUAAUUCCUAUGCAAUUAAGAUGGUAAUUAAACAAACAAUAAAUAAAGAGGUUAAUUUU